AGGGGGAGCACAGGAUCCUGGGCUGUGUCCUCAGGUGCCCUUGGAUCUGGGGCCUGCGCUGCUGGAAUCGCUCUCCCGGGGCCAGGCAGCCCCCU
Molecule: microRNA precursor, 95 nt
Filed under: Canis lupus familiaris (dog)
Lineage: Eukaryota; Metazoa; Chordata; Mammalia; Carnivora; Canidae
Also listed under: 2 other names
Description: mir-8799 microRNA precursor family
Rfam family: mir-8799 microRNA precursor family
Source: Rfam by way of RNAcentral